AGCAGCCGCGGUAAUUCCAGCUCCAAUAGCGUAUAUUAAAGUUGUUGCAGUUAAAAAGCUCGUAGUUGAAUUUCGGGAUCAGUUCGUCGGUCGUGCCUUUGGUAUGUACUGGUGUUACUGGUUCCUCCCUUCUGACGAACCGUCAUGUCAUUAAUUUGGUGUGGCGGGAAAUCAGGACUGUUACUUUGAAAAAAUUAGAGUGUUUAAAGCAGGCUCGCGCUUGAAUACAUUAGCAUGGAAUAAUGAAAUAGGACGUUCGAUCCUAUUUUGUUGGUUUCUAGGAUUGACGUAAUGAUUAAUAGGGAUAGUUGGGGGCAUUAGUAUUCAAUUGUCAGAGGUGAAAUUCUUGGAUUUAUUGAAGACUAACUACUGCGAAAGCAUUUGCCAAGGAUGUUUUCAUUAAUCAAGAACGAAAGUUAGGGGAUCGAAGACGAUCAGAUACCGUCGUAGUCUUAACCAUAAACUAUGCCGACUAGGGAUCGGAUGAUGUUAAUUUUUAAUGACUCAUUCGGCGCCUUAC
RNAcentral lists this ribosomal RNA (520 nucleotides) under uncultured Glomus. RNAcentral's name for it is "SSU rRNA". It matches the Rfam family "Eukaryotic small subunit ribosomal RNA", at positions 569 to 1091 of the family's 1831-position model. The record is from RNAcentral. Lineage: Eukaryota; Fungi; Glomeromycota; Glomeromycetes; Glomerales; Glomeraceae.